CAGGGGUACUGCGCGGAGGAGAAGGCCGUGCAGCGGGGCCGACCGACCGCACCGGCAGCUCCCUCAAUUUACCUGACCUAGCCCCGCCAAACCAAAGUCCUCCUUUUCUUUUGCUUUUACCUAAUUUUGGCACCCAAGUUUAGGUACCUGCGACCGUGAGGCGGUAGGUGAGCGCGGCCGCGGCGGAGAUCGGAGGGAGGGGAGACUUCGAGGGGUAGAGAAACAAGCGACCUAGAUCGGCAGCCGGAGGGAGGAGCGACUUCGAGCGGCCGCGGAAAGAGCCGGAACGGCCUGGCCGCGCCGGACCAAGAAGGAGGGGUAGGCGACCGGAAGCAGGGUGGCAGCUGGAGGUGGUGGAACUACGUUGCAACGAGGAGGUGCUCGAGGUGCUCGAGGUGCUGGCCUCGUUACUUACGAUCUACUUUCACUCGUAGGUUUUGUAGUUUACGCACUUACGAUCUAAACUUCCUGACCGGUAGGAAACCGGUAUGACUCAUGGACAUCAGACAACUGACGAACUCGUACCACUUUACUAUAAUAACAGGUUUUGAGGUUCACCUCGAGGAGGUCAGAGGGCUCGACUGGAUGUUUUGGCCACUAGAACGGGGUUUGGUCAAAACUUCAUAACUAGUACCAUUUUACGUUACCUAUUUCGGGUACCCAUACGGGAAAGAGAAAACAAGUUCAUAACUAAGAAGAGAAGGAACGAUGAAACUUCAUGACUAAUAAGAGGAGGAACCAGUACAGUAAAGGGUCGCACAGUUUUACCCGUGAGGACUAAAGAGACGUCCUCCUUCCCUCGGCUCUUCGACGCUUACUGUGAACUUCCACGUCUCCUUCUCCUUCUUGACGUUGUGCACACUUACAACGGUUGUAAAGGGUGACAUUAACUAACUUCAACAGUUAUACUUAAGUAUAAUACAUAGUCCGUAACAUUUAAGGGAACAUUAGGUCACCUAAAUACAGUUACUUAUACACUUAAGUCUAUAAGUCACUUCAUUUG
Molecule: ribosomal RNA, 1003 nt
Filed under: Triticum aestivum (bread wheat)
Lineage: Eukaryota; Viridiplantae; Streptophyta; Magnoliopsida; Poales; Poaceae
Description: partial small subunit ribosomal RNA
Source: RNAcentral